Molecule: ribosomal RNA, 301 nt
Filed under: uncultured bacterium
Lineage: Bacteria
Description: partial 16S ribosomal RNA
Rfam family: Bacterial small subunit ribosomal RNA
Source: RNAcentral
CAGCCGCCACGGUAAUACGAAGGGGGCUAGCGUUGUUCGGAAUUACUGGGCGUAAAGCGCACGUAGGCGGAUAUUUAAGUCAGGGGUGAAAUCCCGCAGCUCAACUGCGGAACUGCCUUUGAUACUGGGUAUCUUGAGUAUGGAAGAGGUUAGUGGAAUUGCGAGUGUAGAGGUGAAAUUCGUAGAUAUUCGCAGGAACACCAGUGGCGAAGGCGGCUAACUGGUCCAUAACUGACGCUGAGGUGCGAAAGCGUGGGGAGCAAACAGGAUUAGAUACCCCCGUAGUCCCUGUCUCUUAUAA